UCGGUUUGACGUACAGACCUAAAGCAUUUUAUAAAGCAGUCCCUUCAAGAGUUAUCCAUAGAUACCCUUCGUUGAGAGCUUUCCUUAUAUCGCUUAAAAAUCUGUAAAGCACGCCAUAGCGCCGGAAGGCAAACUUAAUUAAAAAGGUAUUCUCUAUGUCUGGUAAAAUGACUGGUCUGGUAAAAUGGUUCAACUCUGACAAAGGCUUCGGCUUCAUCACUCCUGACGAUGGCUCUAAAGAUGUGUUCGUACACUUCUCUGCUAUCCAGAACGAUGGCUACAAAUCUCUUGAUGAAGGUCAGAAAGUGUCCUUCACCAUCGAAAGCGGCGCUAAAGGCCCGUCUGCUGGUAACGUUGUAAGCCUGUAAUAGCUUCCGUUUAAAGCACGCUUUCUGAAAAAAACCCCGCAAUGCGGGGUUU
This 420-nucleotide small RNA is filed under the name Enterobacter kobei. Its description in RNAcentral is "cspA thermoregulator". It matches the Rfam family "cspA thermoregulator". Lineage: Bacteria; Pseudomonadati; Pseudomonadota; Gammaproteobacteria; Enterobacterales; Enterobacteriaceae. The record is from RNAcentral.